AGUUUGCCUCUGGCUUAUUUUAUGUUGCUGCCAUUAACCUUUGGCCUGUUUAUGUCUGCUUCUUCACCUGCUUGAUUGAUUGGGUUUUUUCCUUCCCUGCAUCUUUUAUCAUCUUGGAAAUGAGCCGGUACCAAGAACUAGCAGUAGCUCUGGAGUCAAGCUCCACAACAAUCAAUCACCUCAAUGAAAACAUAGAAUCAUUGAAACAACAGAAGAAACAAGUGGAACAUCAGUUGGAAGAAGAAAAGAAAGCAAACAAUGAAAUACACAAAGCACAAACGGAGCAGUUAGAGACAAUCAACAUCCUCACAUUGGAAAAGACAGACUUGAAGACCACCCUUUACCAUACUAAAGGUGCUGCCAGACACUUUGAAGGUGGGAAUCUGGGCAC
Molecule: long non-coding RNA, 391 nt
Filed under: Cercocebus atys (sooty mangabey)
Lineage: Eukaryota; Metazoa; Chordata; Mammalia; Primates; Cercopithecidae
Description: lncRNA (ENSCATG00000045467.1)
Source: RNAcentral